UUUUCUUCCAAAACAUGUUCUCUCUUCCAAAAGUCAUUUCUCAGGAGACUUCUCUUGAGACCUAACCCAUCUUCAUCAAGGUGACCAUCGUCUUGGAGAGCUUAUCAACGACUUUACCUUUUCAUUUCUUCUAGUUAAGAGUAUUGCACUAUGUGAGAGACUUGAGACUUGGGCAACAUCGGUACUGUUGAAGCACAUAAUACCAAAAUCGCUAACUUCUGAAGCACUAGGAGAAAUAGUUGCUUUCUUCUGAGGAUUUUCAGGUAUGUGAAUCUAUUAUGUUCUUGAAAAGUUGAUAUCUUCUAGGGUUUCUUCAUAUGCUUUGAUUCUUAUGUCAAAUUGAAUUGGUUACUUUCAUUCACCUAAGAAUCUGCUAGUUCAUUGCUUUAAUUCGUUUGGAAUCUGGUAGGGUUUUUUAUUUAUUUAUGAACUUGGGUGAAUCUGCUAGUUAUUUGCUUUAAUUCAUUUGGAAUCUGGUAGGGUUUUUUCUUCAUUUAUGAAAAGUUGAUAUCUUGUAGAGAACGAAUACAUAGGAUGCAUAGUUGAUUGUUUUAUCAUUACUGUCGAUAUUGUUUCUUCGUAAAUGUUGUUUUUCUGAUACUAUGGCUUUAAUUGCAGACUAGUGCAAGUUCAUUACUGCCAUAUAUAACUAUGUGAUUUUAAUACCUAAUUGCAAAUGGAGAACGAAAGAAAAUUUAUUAUCUAGUAUAUUUCCGUUCUCUGAAGCUCAAAAGAAAAAAAGAACAUGAAAAACAUUCUCUGCCUUGGGAAUAAGGACAGACUGGGAUAACUGGGUGCGGUCCAUGCUGUGGAUGGGCUUGUUUGAGAUUCAGGGCCAACAAUUCCCCAUGGCCUCUUCAGAGCUUUAUGGAGGUGGCUGAGGUGGGAGUGUUAGGUGUGGCAGGCAAUAAUAGUAAUUGCAGUUAUUCCUUCGUCUCUUCGCAGUUUCCACUUUGCAGGGUUGCUUAAUUUGGUAAUAUACUGAAUAUUUCUCCCCAUACCUUGGUUAUUGGAUGUGCAUCCCAGAACUUUGGAUUGUCGGGAACUACUCCUCUCAAGUGUGCGUUUAGGCUUAGAUUGAGCUAUUAUCACUAGAUGGUGGUGGUUGACUGGUUCCUAUGACAUUGGUGUAAUUCAUUCUCAUGUUUUUCUAGAGAAGUAUUGGUAUUACAUCCCAACAACCAUUUGAAUAACACACAAAUGUAAUUUGCAGGAUAUCUUUAUAUUUAUCUUGUAGCCUGUGUGAUUAAUUUAUUUCCGCAUGUUUUAAACCUGUGGGAAUUCAACCUGUUGGACUGUGGAAUCUUAUGAUACUUUGAUAAUUUAUCAGUAAUGUUUUGUGACCUCAUUUAUGGUCGUGUCUCUUUAUUUGAAAUUGAAAUAGUGUCGGAGGAGUCCUGCCAGAGUAACUAGAUGUUUCUUUGUCUAUUGUUCUUGUUUCAGGAGAAGUGUUCAAGUGUUCUUCUUCUCUCUAGGUUGUUAGUUUAUACUAGUUUGAACAUCAAAUCAGUCCCGCAUAUAAAAUAUUUGAUUAGCGAUAUUAUAUACUGCCUUUCUACUUCUUGUCCUUGGCAAUAUCUAUACACGUAAUCAUAAAUGCUAAGGAUUUAUAAGUAGGUAUUUUCUGGUUUAGAAAGUUUUCACACAAAUGUGAAACUAUUGUGCUAGUUGUAAAAGUUAAUAUGUAUGUUGCUCUCUUACCGUGGUAAAUUUUUGAAUUCUAUUGUUUAGAAUGUCUCUGCAAGUGGUGAAGAUGAAAAUAUAUUAGCAGGCGAUUAUAAAUGCUCUACCUUAGCAUUUAAACUAUAUUUUGUAGAUAUUGAAGGAGUGAUGUGAGAAUGACCUUUGCAAUCUCACUUUAACUUUCAUGAUCAGAUCAUAUCAUGUAAUGUGUGCUUAGAACUCGUUUCAACUAUAAAAUAGCGACUUGAUCUUUGUAAAGACGUAGUAUCAUCCUUUAAUUAGAGAAAAUGUUACUUAAAUCAUGUUACUAACGAGUGAUUAUAUUUUUAUGAUAGAUACUAAAUUAAAAAACUAAAUAUUUACAAAGAAGUCAUAAUCUAAAUGGAAUUAGUUCUAGACAGAUUUGACAAUCAAUCUGAAAUAUCUAAUUGAAUUUCAGAUUGUUGUUUCAUUAACUUUUAAGUAUUUUUAUAUCUUUAGUGGAGAGAGUGUUUUUUAUAAUCUAAGUUUGAGAGAGUUUUUUGAAAGUAAAGUUUUAUAACUUAGGCAUUGCCUGCCUUUUAUUUUUACAUGUUCCCUCCUUUUUAUAGAAAGGAAAAUCUAUUCUAAUAACUAUGCAUCUUACGUACUACCCAUUUUACUUCAUUUAUAAAUACUACACUUGCCAAAUAUAAUAUGACAUACCAUACCCACACCAUACCUACUUUAUGACACAUUUAUCUACACUAUGACACAUACUAUUCACACUAUGACACACUAUUAUGACAUACUACUAUUCACAUAAUACUUUUUUGACUUUUUUACAAGACAAAUAACUUUCCACUAACUUUACGUCUAUUCUUUUUCUUAUCUUCUUUUAUCUCAUCUCUUUUUCGUCUCUAUCUUCUUUUAUUUUAUCAUUCCAGCUGGACGUCGGGGAUUACAUUAUCUUCUCCCAUUGCAUUUUGAACAUAUGUGAUCAGGGUAUUUGUGUCAAAUUAGCUUGCAAUAUCUGGUUAAUAAUUCUGUCGAAAUAAAUCCUUCUUUUAAUGCUCUUGUUGUAGGUCGUUCUUCUGGCUUUAAUAAUGAUAAAUCCAUUGCUGGACUUCAUCCAUAUCUGUUUUCCUUAGUUCUCUUGAAUUUGAGUAUAUUAUUAGUUGAUCUGUAGAGUAGCUCCAUAUAGCAUUUCCAUUUAAAUAUUUAUAUGCUAGCUCCUGUAUGAUAGUUGAUAUACCAAUUAUUCUUUUGUUGGCGUAAAAACUUGGUAUCUCUAUUUUGCAUAUCUCUUCUUGUUGUCCGAUGUCCUCGGGUAUGAUCAUAUCUUUAGUCAAUCCUAUCUUGAUAACCUGUAUUGGAGGUUUUAUUUCCUCGUAUAAUAUCUCCGCUGGUGCUGUAUAGAAUUUUAUAUAAAAUAAAUUCCCUUUUGUAACUCUUUUGUAUGUGACGAAUGUUUUGUGUAGCUCCGGUAUUUCACUAACUUCUUCUUCAUCGUACGUGUAUAUAGUAUUUAACAGUCUGUAGUUAUAACAUGUUCUUACUAAAUUACCGUUAGUUUUUGGCCGUGCAAUUAACUUGUUAUAUCCUUGUAACUUUUGUGUCAAAUAAUCUUGGUUUGGUUCUUUCAUAAUUGAUCUGGGGUUGCGAUUUAAAUAAGUUUGGAUUUUGUGUAUAUUUUCGAUAUAGGUUCGUGUGAUGUAGUUAUAUGUUUUUUUCUCAUUUUGGUUUAGCAAACUAUCUGCGUAUGUAGAUGUUUGUGGUUCUAUGGACAUAUGUCUAGGUGUCCUUUGGGUGAUUGGUUUUUCGAAUAGCUGGUUUAAGUUCGCAUAUUUAUGUUGUUUAUCGCUAACUUAUUUGCUUGUACCUGCAGCUGUAUUUAAACAAACGUUAUGGGUUUUAAGGAGUUUCCCA
Molecule: long non-coding RNA, 3570 nt
Filed under: Solanum tuberosum (potato)
Lineage: Eukaryota; Viridiplantae; Streptophyta; Magnoliopsida; Solanales; Solanaceae
Description: long non-coding RNA (STUB_LNC008017)
Source: RNAcentral